UUACGGCCUUAUCAUGUUGAAACACCAGGUUCCUCUACAAUCCCCCAAAGUUAAGCAACGUCGAGCCUGAUCAGUACCUAGAUGGGUGACUGCUUGGGAAUACCAGAUGCU
This 111-nucleotide ribosomal RNA is filed under the name Acanthosepion pharaonis. Lineage: Eukaryota; Metazoa; Mollusca; Cephalopoda; Sepiida; Sepiidae. The record is from RNAcentral.